Non-coding RNA from Phoenix dactylifera (date palm), 2765 nucleotides. The record is from RefSeq and is a predicted model, not a curated record. NCBI's taxonomy places the organism in Eukaryota, Viridiplantae, Streptophyta, Magnoliopsida, Arecales, Arecaceae.
UGGCUUUCCUCCUUGCCGCUUCUCUUCCCUACCGUUCCUUUCUCGAGCUUUUGCUAUUCCUGACGGUGAUCAGCAACGUGGGCAGGAUGGGAAACCCUCCAAGAUCGAAUUUUUAGUCGAUUUUGACUCGAAUCCCCAUGUGGGACAUUUUAUCCUGUGGGAAAGGUGUUUUUUUGCGGAGUCUUCCGUUUCUGAUGAUGAUUAACUCCGUUCGCGAGACUCGAAACCCUCCAAGAUUGGAUCUUUGAGCGGUUUCCGUCUCUCCUAUCUCCGCACCAAAAAAUAUUUUGUCCUUCUAUUUUUGGAAUUUAUGUAUUGAUGUACUCUCAAAUUUGUGAGGGAGGUUGUCUGUUCUUUCUUCUUCAAAUUGUUUUGUAUUAUGAAUUUGAUGAACUUUACAUGCCUAUCGAGCUGUUCGGUUCUUUUUCGUUUUUUUUUUAAAAUAAAAGAUACAAAACCGUUCUUCCCACUUCACUUAAAAAGGCUUGGAGUUUCUGCAAAUGGGGAAGUCAUAUUUUUAGUGUUGUUUUAAUUCGUUAACAUAUUAUCAUAUUGCUGAAGUGAAAAAUUUGUGGUUUAUGAAGCAUCAUUUUUUUUUAAUAAUUCCAAACGGUUUUGUUAAAGUUUGAUAUUGAUUACUUCAUUUUGGGAUUCAAUAUUGGACUAACCCUAUGAAGCAUCCAUCGUUUCUCAUUCUCAACUUUGCCAUGGUGGGUGUAUUCGGCCUUGUAAGAGAAGAGAUGGUCGUUUGAUGGUCAAAUAUUCGGAUGUGCAGUUUGGAUACCACGGAACUUUUAUUGAUGGUGAACGCAAGCUCUCUGUUGUCUCUCAAGUUUUCUCUCCUUGGCAUGAUUUUACUGGACUUGCUACAUAUGCCACCGAAAGAUAUGUGGAUGUUGGGCAGCCAACUUCCUUAUCUCACCCUCAGUUAUUAGCAGAAGGGGAAAUUACACCAGGUAUCACAUGUGAUGAGUACAUCUCAAGAAGAAAAAGGCUUUUGGAGCUGCUUCCAGAAAAGAGCUUGGCUAUAAUUGCAUCUGCACCUGUAAAAAUGAUGACAGAUGUGGUGCCAUAUCCAUUUAGACAGGAUGCUGAUUACCUCUAUAUAACAGGUAGCUCACAGCCUGGUGGUGUAGCAGUUUUAAGUGAGGAAUGUGGCUUAUGUAUGUUUAUGCCCGAUCCAGAUCCUCAUGAUGUAGUUUGGCAAGGUCAGGUUGCUGGAGUUGAAGCAGCCUUGGACUUUUUUAAGGCUGAAAAAGCAUUUCCAUUGAGUAAGAUGCACAAGAUCCUUCCAGAAAUGAUUGGACGAGCAUCAAGAUUGUUCCAUAAUAUAAAGACAGCCUUACCAUCUUAUAUGGAGCUGGAGGCCUUUCGCGGGGCAAGUCUCAACAACAAAGUGAAAGAUCUUUCACGUUACACUCAUGAAAUGCGAUGGAUAAAAUCUCCAUCUGAACUUAAGUUGAUGAGAGAAUCUGCAUCAAUUGCAUGCCAGUCCCUGUUGCAAACAAUGUUGCUUUCGAGGACAUUUCCAGAAGAAAGCAAGCUAUCAGCUAAGGUUGAAUAUGAUUGCAAAAUGAGAGGGGCUCAAAGAAUGGCGUUCAAUCCAGUAGUUGGUGGUGGGGCAAAUGGAAGUGUUAUACACUAUUCAAGAAAUGAUCAGAAAGUCAGAGCCGGGGAACUUGUACUGAUGGAUGUUGGGUGUGAGUUCCAUGGUUAUCUCAGUGAUUUAACCCGCACCUGGCCACCAUGCGGUAGCUUUUCCUCUGCUCAGGAAAUAUUAUAUAGUCUCAUUUUAGAGACAAAUAAGGAAUGUGUGAAGCUCUGUAAACCUGGUGUGAGCAUUCAGCAGAUACAUAAUUAUUCGGUUCAAAUGCUAAGGAGAGGACUCAAAGAGAUCGGAAUCCUGAAAGAUGAGACCAGUUACUCUUAUCAUGAGCUGAAUCCAACUUCAAUAGGGCAUUAUCUAGGAAUGGAUGUUCAUGACUCAGCCAUGAUCAGCAAUGACCGUCCGUUGCAGCCAGGUGUUAGUUUUUGACCGUGCUAUAUGAUUACAGUUAAGGGGAGUUGUUUCUUCAGAAGUUUUGCACUGAUGAGCUUGCUUUGGGCAGGUGAUAACAAUUGAGCCUGGAGUUUAUAUACCCAUAUCCUAUGAUGCAAAAGACAGGUUUCGGGGGAUUGGAAUAAGGAUCGAGGAUGAAGUCCUUAUUACUGAAACUGGUUAUGAGGUUCUUACUGGAUCAAUGCCCAAAGAGAUUCCGCAUAUAAAGUCUUUGCUGAAUUUUGCUCAUAGUACAGCUACAGAAGUCCCCGACUUGAGUGCAGUAUUCAGUUAAAGCUCCCUCAAACAUGCUGGGAAGAACUUAUUCAAACAUACAUGGUUUAAUAACCAUUAUUAUUAUUAUUAUUAUUUAUGGCAGAGAGAGAGGGAUGAGUUAAGCUGACAAUGACAGUAUGAGGGCUUGGGUGCAGCUUCGUCAGAUUGAUUAUAUCAGAAGAGGACUGAAAUAACCCCUGAUUUAAGUAUAAAAAGGUAGUAAGGCAUUUGGAAGCCCAUUUGUUUUUAGCUUUUUCAGCUUGAUUUUUCGAGUCUGCAAUCAUACUCUCACUAAAGGUCCAUUGAAGCUUUUGAAUCAUCUUUCUUUUGGUUAGUCCUUGUUCUUAAUCAAGAAUGUGCUCACAAAGGUAUUUGAUCGUCGGAACAUCAGUGAACUUGGUCUCUCUCUUGAAAUUGAUUCAUGAUAACAGCAGAAGGCUAAUAUUGUGGA